GCAUAUCAAUAAGCGGAGGAAAAGAAACUAACAAGGAUUCCCCUAGUAACGGCGAGUGAAGCGGGAAAAGCUCAAAUUUUAAAUCUGGUAGGAUCCCCUAUCCGAGUUGUAGUUUCAAGAAACGUUUUCGGUUGGCGCCUGGGUAUAAGUCCUUUGGAACAGGGCAUCAUAGAGGGUGAGAAUCCCGUUUAUGACUCGGAGCAGCGAACUAUGUGAUACGUUUUCAAAGAGUCAGGUUGUUUGGGAAUGCAGCCUAAAAUGGGUGGUAAAUUUCAUCUAAAGCUAAAUAUUGGCGAGAGACCGAUAGCGAACAAGUACCGUGAGGGAAAGAUGAAAAGAACUUUGAAAAGAGAGUUAAACAGUACGUGAAAUUGUUGAAAGGGAAACGUUUGAAAUCAGUCAUGUAGGUGAGUAAUCAGCUUGGCUUUUUUUAAGCCUUGUGCACUUUCUCAUCCACAGGUCAGCGUCAGUUUUGGCGGUCGGAUAAAAGCCAAGGGAAUGUGGCCCCUCCGGGGGUGUUAUAGCCCUGGUUAAUACGAUGGUCGGGACUGAGGUCUGCAGCCGAUACCUCUUGUGGGCUGGGUAAUACUUUUACUCGUAGGUGACCGAGCUUA
RNAcentral lists this ribosomal RNA (614 nucleotides) under Endogone incrassata. RNAcentral's name for it is "partial 28S rRNA". It matches the Rfam family "Eukaryotic large subunit ribosomal RNA", at positions 38 to 609 of the family's 3401-position model. Lineage: Eukaryota; Fungi; Mucoromycota; Endogonomycetes; Endogonales; Endogonaceae. The record is from RNAcentral.